UGUAUUCUAUUUGUAGUCAGGUUACUAUAUCAUGAUAUUACAAUUAGUAAAUUGACAUAUUGGGUAAGUUAUAAUAGUUGACAUAAAAUGUCAUUAUUCUGGAUUACAUGAUUUUGUGCCAUAAAUAAUAUAUUUGACAAAGUAAUGUCAUAGGACAUCAUCAUGUCCAGCGUCACUAGUUGAAAGAAUGAUCAACAGUGAUAUGACCAAAGACACUAGUUGAGAGAAUGAUCAACAGUGUUAUAAUUAGAAUCACUAGUUGAAAGAAUGAUCAACAGUGAUAUAACCAGAGUCACUACCAAUGAGUGAUAUUAUUGCUGUUAUAUUGGAACUGCCAUCAUGUGACAAAAUACUGAUUGAGUGGGGUAAAUACAAAUAAAUAUAAAAACCUUAAUACUGUAAGGUAUAACAAUAUAUUUUAUAAAAAUGGAAUGAUCUCACUCAGUAUUUUCCACUGACAAAACCUUUUUCAAACAUGUUUCAGGUAAUUACCAUAGAUUGGAAUAAAGGCUAGAUACGGCACUGAAAGGCAUCAAGAAGUGGUUUAUUUUAAUCAAAUUAAGAAAUAUUGUUUUAUAAAAUAAAAUUUAUCUUUAUUAAAGCUACCAUUGUAAAACAGGGGUUUAUCCCAUUUAAAUCAAAUCUGGUGUUUUAUAAACUCUGAUAUUUUUCCUAACUC
RNAcentral lists this long non-coding RNA (679 nucleotides) under Helianthus annuus (common sunflower). Its description in RNAcentral is "sRNA HanXRQr2_Chr11g0514611". Lineage: Eukaryota; Viridiplantae; Streptophyta; Magnoliopsida; Asterales; Asteraceae. The record is from RNAcentral.